RNAcentral lists this ribosomal RNA (253 nucleotides) under uncultured bacterium. RNAcentral describes it as "partial 16S ribosomal RNA". It matches the Rfam family "Bacterial small subunit ribosomal RNA", at positions 524 to 776 of the family's 1533-position model. The record is from RNAcentral.
GACGAAGGAUGCAAGCGUUAUCCGGAUUCAUUGGGUUUAAAGGGAGCGUAGGCGGCCUUGUAAGUCAGUGGUGAAAUCUCUCGGCUUAACCGAGAAAUUGCCAUUGAUACUGCAGGGCUUGAGUACAGUUGCCGUUGGCGGAAUAUGACAUGUAGUGGUGAAAUACAUAGAGAUGUCAUAGAACACCGAUUGCGAAGGCAGCUAACGAAACUGUAACUGACGCUGAGGCUCGAAAGUGCGGGGAUCAGACAGG